CGUGGUUCGGAAUCACUGGGCGUAAAGCGCACGUAGGCGGCUGUGAAAGUUAGUGGUGAAAGCCCGUAGCUUAACUGCGGAACUGCCAUUGAUACUGCUAAUCUUGAGUACAUUUGAUGUGGGCGGAAUGUGUCGUGUAGCGGUGAAAUGCUUAGAUAUGACACAGAACACCGAUUGCGAAGGCAGCUCACAAAACUGUUACUGACGCUGAGGCACGAAAGCGUGGGGAUCG
Molecule: ribosomal RNA, 232 nt
Filed under: uncultured bacterium
Lineage: Bacteria
Description: partial 16S ribosomal RNA
Rfam family: Bacterial small subunit ribosomal RNA
Source: RNAcentral